Molecule: ribosomal RNA, 280 nt
Filed under: uncultured bacterium
Lineage: Bacteria
Description: partial 16S ribosomal RNA
Rfam family: Bacterial small subunit ribosomal RNA
Source: RNAcentral
AGCGAACGCUGGCGGCAUGCUUAACACAUGCAAGUCGCACGAAGGUUUCGGCCUUAGUGGCGGACGGGUGAGUAACGCGUAGGAAUCUAUCCAUGGGUGGGGGAUAACUCCGGGAAACUGGAGCUAAUACCGCAUGAUACCUGAGGGUCAAAGGCGCAAGUCGCCUGUGGAGGAGCCUGCGUUUGAUUAGCUUGUUGGUGGGGUAAUGGCCUACCAAGGCGAUGAUCAAUAGCUGGUCUGAGAGGAUGAUCAGCCACACUGGGACUGAGACACGGCCCAG